CCAAGAGGUCUUGUUUCACAAGAGAAUCUUCAGGUGUUUUAGGCCUUUAUGACACACCCCAAGCCCUUCAGAGAGCCACAAGAAUGGCCCAGAGGAAAUUCUAAACCACUAUGACUCAUGGGUCCCCGAAAGGAAUUAGGAAGUAGAGAUUUACAGGUUGACUGGACCAGUAAGCAUAUUAUUAAUCCUUCAAACUCAGUGGAGGUCCACUUCCUAUUGAUGUUUGCAUGCUGGACACACAUCUGGAGACUUCGCUUUGUCCCCAACAAACAUCUGAACUUCAGGUGGUUCGCUUCAGUUUCACAUCAGCAGUCCUCUGACAUCUACCUUCCACUUGUGACUAAUUUCUCCCUAAUUUGUUAAACUUAAUGAAAAGCAAGGGUUCCUUGCCCCCCACCUCUUUAAAAAUGGGGGUCACCUGGAGGUGCAGGCCAUCGCUAUGUUAAACCUAUGAGGUGAUGAUAAACCACACAA
This 474-nucleotide long non-coding RNA is filed under the name Rattus norvegicus (Norway rat). RNAcentral's name for it is "partial Pvt1". The record is from RNAcentral. Lineage: Eukaryota; Metazoa; Chordata; Mammalia; Rodentia; Muridae.